UACGGGGGGGGCAAGCGUUGUUCGGAUUUACUGGGCGUAAAGGGCGCGUAGGCGGCCAGCACACGUCAGUUGUGAAAUCUCCGAGCUUAACUCGGAACGGUCAACUGAUACUGUGCGGCUAGAGUGCAGAAGGGGCAACUGGAAUUCUUGGUGUAGCGGUGAAAUGCGUAGAUAUCAAGAGGAACACCUGCGGCGAAGGCGGGUUGCUGGGCUGACACUGACGCUGAGGCGCGAAAGCUAGGGGAGCGAACGGG
RNAcentral lists this ribosomal RNA (254 nucleotides) under uncultured bacterium. RNAcentral describes it as "partial 16S ribosomal RNA". It matches the Rfam family "Bacterial small subunit ribosomal RNA", at positions 524 to 776 of the family's 1533-position model. The record is from RNAcentral.